GCAGGAGGUGCCCUUUAUCCUAAGGGCAGUGAAGAGCAACGCUGGACUAUUUUCAUUUCAGAUCAGUCAGUGCCUGUAGUGUGAAGGGGUCACUGGAGAGGGCCAGUAGGCUGGGAGUCUGGUUAGGAGGCCAUUGCAGUGGUGGAAGUUUAUCCAGUCGGAGGAAGUGAAGUCGCAGCUGAAAUGGGGCCACAAUAAGAGAAGAUUCGGACAUGUCCUGAAAAAAUUUGCAGUAACCUGCUUUCCAAUGGCACCUCUCUCCAUCCAGCACAUUUUCAUUAUGUGCCUACUAUGUGCAAGGCACUGUGCUUCCUGCUGGGAUUCAACAGUGAAAAGUGGUUCCUGCCUCAUAAACACAUUCAAAACCCUCAAGUGAUGCAAGGUACCAUGCAGGAAUCCAUUAGAGGGACCAGGGGAAGGCACACGGAGGCACUGAUGCGCUGGCUACUUUGAAUAACUCGUGGUAAAUCUGAGACUGGGAGUAUGGUCUCCCCAUGCCAUCUGGGGCAACAGCAGGCUCAUGCCAGGUCGCUUGUGGCAAUAAUGACACCUGGCUUCCCUUA
Molecule: non-coding RNA, 563 nt
Organism: Ictidomys tridecemlineatus (thirteen-lined ground squirrel)
Lineage: Eukaryota; Metazoa; Chordata; Mammalia; Rodentia; Sciuridae
Source: RefSeq, a predicted model, not a curated record